Rhipicephalus sanguineus (brown dog tick) is the source of this 282-nucleotide long non-coding RNA. RefSeq lists it as uncharacterized. The transcript is spliced from 2 exons. NCBI's taxonomy places the organism in Eukaryota, Metazoa, Arthropoda, Arachnida, Ixodida, Ixodidae. The record is from RefSeq and is a predicted model, not a curated record.
UGCGACUUGUAGAGCUCGUCUCUACGCCUACUCCCUCAAGCAUUCCUACCUGCCGCCGGAAGUCGCCCUUCUUUUUGGGGCAUUGAUGCCUUCAGAAGGCCACGUGAAAAGAGUGUGCCGAAUUUUGAGGUCAGAAGCAUGCCGACAAGUACGCUUCUACACUGACUGCCUGCAGGUUGUGAACCGCAACGAACUGCCUUUCCCCAGUGCCCAGAAGAAGUUUCUUCAAGACCUGCGACUGGCGUCUCAGACUGCCGACUUCCUAUGGGGCAACGUAAUAGU